Molecule: RNA transcript, 1107 nt
Organism: Nannospalax galili (Upper Galilee mountains blind mole rat)
Lineage: Eukaryota; Metazoa; Chordata; Mammalia; Rodentia; Spalacidae
Gene: Ccdc167
Gene name: coiled-coil domain containing 167
Exons: 5
Source: RefSeq, a predicted model, not a curated record
GGGCGUGUCCGGCGCGGGGGACACAGCAAGCAAUAUGACUAAAAAGAAGCGGGAGAAUCUGGGCGUCGCUCUGGAGAUCGAUGGGCUAGAGGAGAAGCUGUCUCAGUGUCGAAAGGAACUAGAGGCUGUGACCUCCCAACUCUACAGGGCAGAACUAAGCCCUGAAGACAGGAGGUCUCUUGAAAAGGAGAAAACCAGCCUCAAGAGCAAAGCCUCCAAGUACGAGAAGGAGCUAAAGCUGCUUCGGCAAGAGAAUCAGAAGAACAUGCUGCUCUCCGUGGCCAUCUUCAUCCUCCUCGCCCUGGUUUACGCCCACUGGACCAUGUGAAUCUGCCAGCCUCAGCCAUGUGGCCUCCCCUCCACCUCUUCUCAGGACCAAGCAGCCCUUCAAGCUCAAGAGGCCCAAGACACAGACUGAUCCUGGAUUGUCACAGUGCCAUCAUGGAAUAAGCCAAGUGAUUUAUGGAAGAGAAGGAAAGUACCCCUGCCCUCCUGGGACUGUGGCUUCAUUCAUCCCUACAUCCCUCCUUCUAACAAGAGCUGCCUAAUUUCCCUGUUGCCCCUGAGCUCCCUGUCUACUGGCCAGCAGCAGCUCCAAGAGCCCUGCCUGGGCCCAGGAGCUCAGAAAGGCUCUGAUUAUACAAACUCUGCCCUUCCCUCUGAGUAGAGCUUCUCUCCCUUUGCCUCUAGCCUAAGCUGUUUCAUCUAAGUCAGACCCCAACCACAAAGCACUGUGGACAAACAGCAGCAGCCUCAGUACAGAGCUACACCGGUAUUAAAAAUAUGUUUAUCUUUAAUGAUCCAAGAUUCUGCAAGACACACUGAUACACCCAGAAUUGGGUGGAAAUAUAGCGUCCUAGCACUGCUGCCACCAGCUUGGGGGUGGGGGCUGGAUGCUGGCUGAAGGACCCCCAUGGUGGAGUCAAUUCCAACCUCACAGGCGCCUCAGUGCCCUAUCUCCAUGGAAACCAGUCUGACACUGGCAUGGGGCCCUAGGGAGCUCACAUGAGUAUCUCUGAGAGGUAUUUCCCAUUAAAAACAACCACAGGUACCCUCCCCCAGACAAAGCUGCUGUCCCUCCUCCCUUUUACCAAGAAAUGGAGUGAC